UCCAGCUGGUAGUCAGCUACCCAUUGCUGCUCAGUGCCUGUGAUAGUGUUACAAUGCUGGGAGAGAAAUGCGCUGCCAAGUCGCUCCUGGCACCACAGGUGCUGUUCUGGCCCUAGAUGGUGCCAGGUUUUGGCAGCGCUCUGCAUGCUUAAGAGUGGACUAACUCCUUCUCUGUGGAGUUAAUCCUAGACUGGAUGCAGACAAC
Molecule: small nucleolar RNA, 205 nt
Organism: Accipiter nisus (Eurasian sparrowhawk)
Lineage: Eukaryota; Metazoa; Chordata; Aves; Accipitriformes; Accipitridae
Gene: SNORA74
Rfam family: Small nucleolar RNA SNORA74
About the family: U19 belongs to the H/ACA class of snoRNAs. snoRNAs bind a number of proteins (including dyskerin, Gar1p and Nop10p in the case of the H/ACA class) to form snoRNP complexes. This class are thought to guide the sites of modification of uridines to pseudouridines by forming direct base pairing interactions with substrate RNAs.
Source: Ensembl